GUGCACUUCAUUUUAGUCCGUGUGGAAAUCAAGAGAUGCACUAGUUUGGAGGCUUGUUUUUCUGUGAUGAUAACACAGAAACGAUCAACUUUAAUAUAUCAUGAUGAAACAGUCCAAACUAUCUGCUGGAAAGCGUCUUACAAAGCCGAUUCUUUUUGGGACACUGCUCGUAGGUUUGGCUACGGCGUUUUUCAAUAGGCAUCGGUUCAUGGAGGAUGUUGCAGACUUCAGGAGCUGGAGAGGUCCCGUAAUGAGGCCAAACGCCAUGAAGUGCUGGAAAGGAGGCAGAGACAAAUGGAUGAACAUGUAAAGAAGACUGGAGGAGGUAGCUGAGAUUUCUUCACUGCUGUCUGAAUGGAUUUCUGUGAGAACCUAAUACUCAAGAACCAAACGUGGGACAUUUUAGCCUAUAAGGUUUUGUGAAGUGUUAAUUGUUCCGUUUUUGCUAUUAGAAUGAUUUUACAGGUUGUCUGUCCAAUCAUUGUAUGCAUCGAUGAGAAAGUUGGGAAUAGCAAGAUUUCAAGAAUAUUCACAGGGUGUUGUUGAGACCUGCUUGGAAGGUCAAAAAAAUAAUCUGGAUACAUGUAAAUGAAUGAAUUGUUGCACCACUCACGAAGCAUUAAAGCCUUAUUACAUACAAAAACAUUUGAACACAAUACAGUUAUUACAGUAAGAGUCUUGAAGUCCAACUGAGAACACAACCAUUUAUUUGAGCACACAAAGUAACAAAGUGCAUCUGGAACUCAUUGCACUAUUCAAACCAAACUGAUUAGGAUUUGUCAUUUACCACCAGGAAAAGUCUAUAAAAAUGAACGUGUGCACAUUUGAACUAAUACUAUGGGGCUGGGAAACCAACCUGAGUGUCAUAUUAGUCAGUCGAUUGUCAUUAUCACCAGUACAAUGAUUAAACCUGCUGUAUCCUCA
Triplophysa dalaica is the source of this 924-nucleotide long non-coding RNA. RefSeq lists it as uncharacterized. The transcript has 2 exons. The record is from RefSeq and is a predicted model, not a curated record. Lineage: Eukaryota; Metazoa; Chordata; Actinopteri; Cypriniformes; Nemacheilidae.